GUCUAUGGCCAUACUACCCUGAACGUGCUGUGCUUGAUCUCAUCUGGUCUCAGAAGCUAAGCAAGGUCAGACCUCAUUAGUACUUAGAUUGGAGAAGUUAGCUUUUGACA
This 110-nucleotide ribosomal RNA is filed under the name Ovis aries (sheep). Lineage: Eukaryota; Metazoa; Chordata; Mammalia; Artiodactyla; Bovidae. The record is from RNAcentral.